Molecule: ribosomal RNA, 627 nt
Filed under: Triticum aestivum (bread wheat)
Lineage: Eukaryota; Viridiplantae; Streptophyta; Magnoliopsida; Poales; Poaceae
Description: partial small subunit ribosomal RNA
Source: RNAcentral
AUGGCGCUAACCAGAUCAAUGGUUUUGCUCCUGACGUACGCCGCACUCGCAGCGGCGACGAUGCGACGACCGGAAGAGAGGACACAGGCGGUCAAGGCGCCAUCAGUGCCAUACCUCGCCGGAGGCCAAGAAGCCGAAGCCGAAGCGGUAGCGGCUACCUCCUCGCCGGCCUCACCAAUCACCGACGUCGAGGUCUUCAUCCCGGCACCGCCGCCUCUGCCUGGCAUGCCCGCGUUACCGCCGUUGCCCGGCUCCCCGGGCAUGGCAGGCGCGCCAUCGCCUUCGCAGCAGCCGGCCAGUUGCUUGGGAGCGCUCGGGCGUGUGAUAACAUGCGCGCCGUACCUCACCGACUCCGUACCCGUGCCGCCGAGUACAUGCUGCGACGGCUUCAGGUCGCUCGUCGGCAGCAGCGCCCGGAUCUGCUUGUGCCAUGCCAUCAUCGGCAACUUGAGUACAUUGGCCGGGGGGGAGAUCGACCAGCUUCGCUUGCUCGUGCUGCCUCUGACGUGUAGCACGUUCGUGCCCCCGGACUUGCUUCUCAUGUGCAUCCUGUCUCCGGUGCCGCCGAUUAUGCCUCAGCACUACCGCGCCGGUGUCGGAGAAAGGCUCGGUGCUCUCGGCGGCUAG